GGGUUCCGCCGCGGGGCUGCGAGCGCGCGCGGGCCAGUUCGGGCCGGGGGCGGGAACCGGCUCGGAUGCUCAGGGACGGUGGGGGUGGCAGGGCCCACCGGCUUGAGGCUGCCUUUCCCGGCGUUCCCUCGUUUAUUGGCUCACUCUUCCUUUCAUCCAUCCAUCCUUUGCGCAACAAUAUUUGAUGGGAAGCCUGCCAAGGUAACACUGUUUUAGCACCUGGAACUAAGUCGGAAAAUAAAUUAACUAAAUGAACAAGGCCAUUGGAGAUGGUGCUCCGUGCCACGAAGAAAAUGAAACGAGGUGAUGGAAGGCAGUGCGGGAAGGGGGAGAACUGUGUGAAAUUAGGCGGCCUGCGCUAGGCCUUCUGAGUAAGGGGCCAUUGGUCUGAGACCUGGAUGUCAAGAAGGAGCAGCUGAAGCAAAGAUCCAGGGGAGAGAGCCUGGAGAGGGAAGGGCCCGUGCAAAAGCUGAAAAGCCUGGGGCACUCUGGCGAGUUGCAGGCCAGUGUGGGUGAGACAGAGAGAGCUAAGGAGACAGGCCAAGCGAGGAAGCUGGAGAGGUGGAGACAGGCCACGGCGGCCAGGAGUUUGGACAUGACAUUAAACAGGGCGAGAAGACAUUGCGGGGGUGCAAUCAGGGGCUGGUGGGACUGGUUUCCAUUUCACACAGCUCUCUGGCCACAGGUGCUUGAUUGGAUUCUAGAGAACAAGAGAGCAACGGAGAAGCUAGGCCAAUGCCAACCUCCAGACAGUUUACAUUCUGUACUCGCCCACCAGAUUGGUGUGGGGACAAAGCCAGGUCCUUCUUCUUUCCAGCAUUCAGUCUGCCAACUUUUUUUUUUUUUUAGACAGGGUCUCACUCUGUGGCUCAGGCGCUAGUGCAGUGGUGCAAUCUCAGCUCACUGCAGCCUCUGCUUCCCGGGUUCAAGCAAUUCUUGUGCCUCAGCCUCCCGAGUAACUGGGAUUACAGGUGUGUGCCACCAGGCCCAGCUAAAUUUUUUUGUAUUUUUAGUAAAGACGGGGGUUUUGUCACGUUGGCCAGGCUGGUCUCGAACUCCUGACCUCAAGCGAUCUGCCCGCCUUGGCCUCCCAAAGUGCUACGAUUAUAGGCAUGAGCCAUCGCACCCGGCCAGUCAACCAACAUUUGAGUGUGCACUAGGCCCUGCAUCAGGCACUGGGGGUAUGCUCAGGUACAAGGCCCUUCAUGGUUCCUGCCCCAUGGAGCUUGCUAUCUAGUCUGCACAUUUCCUACGUGUAGACAUGCAUCCUACCUAUGUCUCCCUAGGUGAAUGCUUCAAAAAAAAAAGGCCGGGGCGGGGACCUUCAAUGAGGCUAUGGUGCAGUAAACAUAUUCCUUAUGCCAGGGUGCACCAAUCCAUUGGGCCACACUGUUUAGUAGCAAGAAAUUUCUAGCCCUCUCUCCUGAGUCUCCAUCUGUAAACUAGGGGACUGAGAACAUUACUAUUAAAAAAAAACCCUUCUAGCUCUAAAAUGUUGUCAUAGGGUAUGGAAGACCAUUAUUUUCAGUUCCUCUUUUCCAACUAUCUAAAGCGUUUGUGUUUGGAAAUAAGCUUCUGAACUGCUCACCUGCAGGCUAGAAAAAUCUGAGACUUGAUUUUGAUGUUCCAAGGGUCAGACUCAGCGUAUGCUUUAGGGCUUCAGCAUGAAAGUGGUUCCCCAAAUAAGAAAAGGUCAGCUUUGAUGAAGGAUGAAGAAGGAUGGAAAUAUAGGAGAUUAAGGGAAUCUGAAUACACACCUGCAGGCAGAUGUGUAGGUUGGAGUUUUGGAGACCUAUACCAAUUCUACUCUCUUCCAAAUACCAUUUUACUAGGAUGCAUUCAGAUUCCAGAAUAAUCAGGCACAAGCUCUAGCCAGCCCUGAAUGGGUUCCUGCAGCCCAACAGAAACCUGACACUCUGACUUAGGCAGCCCCAAGAACUUCUGUUAGGCUGGGCGCAGUGGCUCAAGCCUGUAAUCCCAGCACUUUGGGAGGCCAAGAUGGGUGGAUUGCCUAAGGUCAGGAGUUUGAGACCAGCCUGGCCAAUAUGGUGAAACUGUCUCUACUAAAAGUACAAAAAUUAGCCAAGCGUGGUGGCAGGUGUCUGUAAUCCCAGCUACAUGGGAGGCUGAGACAAGAGAAUUGCUUGAACCUGGGAGGCGGAGGUUACAGUGAGCCGAUAUCGCGCCAUUGCGCUCUAGCCUGGGCAAGAAGAGCAAAACUACCUCUCAAAAAACAAAACAAAACAAAACAAAACUCUUAGUCAAGGAUUAACACAAGUUCCCUCUCAUAGUCAAAGAGAGUCCUGGAGAGCUUCCUUUGCUGAUCCGUGUUAAGGAUCUACGAUGCCAGAGAAGACUCAGGUCUGACACUCUGGCCCUUAGAGGCCUGGAACAGUGCCUCGGGCACAGUCCCUGAGGCUCAAUGGCACAUUCAUGCCACAGAGAGGACCAAAGACAGAUCCAAAUGCACACAGCCAGAGAGAAGGGCUUGGCUUAUGUACUUCCUUUUCCAUGUUCUUUGUUCACUAUCACUAACAGCUGAGCGAGGUUCCCAAGGAGCUAUUUGGAAUUUGCCUGGGUCUUCAGCUCUUGCCUGGGAUCGUCAGAGAAGAACAUUUUGCACUGUCAAGGAUAGGGACUUGUGUCUCUUUUCACAACUAACACAUUGCCACAUAUAAUACUAUACUUUAUGCAUAUUGAAAUAAGUGACACAUUGAAAGUAUGGGCCCCAGUUGCUUACAAAAUGAAUUUAUGUUCCCUUGAGGACGAAUGUACUGACUGACAUCUAGUAGCUCCCAGGAAUGGAAGAGUCUUACAACUCAAGAUCUCUAGCAUUUUCCAAAUAUGGUGGCUGACCAUCCCAGUAGCUUCUCAUUAGUCCAGAACCAAUCCUGAGGUAACAUUCUCUUGGCUCAGAAUCUGUUUGGUUUUGUUUGUCUGUUUUUUGAGACAGAGUUUCGCUCUUGUCACCCAGGCCUGAAUGCAAUGGCGUGAUCUCAGCUCACUGCAACCUCCACCUCCUGGGUUCAACCAAUUCUCCUGCCUCAGCCUCCCAAGUAGCUGGGAUUACAGGAGCCUACCACCACGCCUGGCUAAUUUUUGUAUUUUUAGUAGAGAUGGGGUUUCACCAUGUUGGCCAGGCUGGUGUUGAAUUCCUGACCUCAGGUGAUCCGCCUGUCUCAGCCUCCCAAAGUGCUGGGAUUACAGGCAUGAGCCACCGUGCCUGGUCUGGGCUCAGAAUCCGUUAUUAAGGAUGUUACAGGGAAAUGACCUUGGCCUAGAAAUAGGGUGAGAAGAAACUAAGACAGGAGUGCCAUGGUCAUUCAACAAGAAAGAGUAUUUCACUCUCCAGUCAGAUUGCCCCCUACUGUGGAAGAGUGUUCAAGAACAUAAGACGAGAGAAAGAAUCAAGGUUUAAGGUAGUCUCACAUUUCAAUUUUUUGCUCAUUGACAAGAUAUAUAGAGAUAUAUAAUUUUUUAUAUGUGUAUAAAAAAUUCUCAUACUUGCAACCUCCCUCUCAGUUGUGUACAUCAACUACAUACAGCUAGAACAGCAAUGAUGGCAUGCUGAAUUGCUGUCAAUUGAUUACCUAGAAAGUGGGCACUGUGUGACUCUCACCUCUCAGUUAUCCCCUCCCUGCCUUUACCACCUCCCUGAAGCCCCUGAAGUUGGUCAGCUUCACUCAACCUGGUGGUAUAAUAAAAUCCAUUGCAGGGGUAGGAUUUGGAGUGGUUGGUGAACCCACCACUCUAGAGUCUGAAGCUUACAGGUGUAAAACAAAAAGGAAGGAAGGAAGACUGGUGGAAUAAAUAAACCAAAGGAAUUAAAUUUUGUUCAGACAUCCACUCUUCACCUUCCCAGCCCCUGUUUGCCUGUAACUACAAAGCAGAGGCAGGGAGAAAGACACAUGGGCAGGAGAAUACCACAUGGAGACACAGACACACGAGGGGAGGAUGCCUGCUGACCAUGGAGGCAGAAGUGGGACUGACGCAUCGAUCAGCUGAGGGAUGCCAAGCACUGCCAGCAAACACCAGAGGCUUGAUGGGGGCGAGUAUUCUCCUGUGCAGGUAUCAGAGGGAGCCUGGCCUUGCAGAUACCUUGAUUCCUGACUUCUGGCCUCUAAAAUGUCCAAUGUGAGUCAGGCAUCUCUCCUGGUGGCUGUCUUCCAUGUGGUGACUUAUGUAUCCAGGAUCCUUCUACUGUGUUUCUCCUCCAUUGCGAAGUCCUUCACUUCCAGCACCUGAGACAUUUUUUGGGUAUAUCUACAAGUGGCAUAUAUCACUUCUGCCCACAUUCACCUGGGUAGAACUCAAUCACAUUGUUUCACCUAACUGCAAGUGAGGCUGUGGAAUAUAGUCUCCCUAUGUGCCCAAGCAGAAGAAACAGGAUUGGUGAGCAUCUAGCCCAUCUCUACCACUAACAGUUUAUCCC
Molecule: long non-coding RNA, 4432 nt
Filed under: Homo sapiens (human)
Lineage: Eukaryota; Metazoa; Chordata; Mammalia; Primates; Hominidae
Description: non-protein coding lnc-KIAA1147-3:12
Source: RNAcentral